This 439-nucleotide ribosomal RNA is filed under the name uncultured bacterium. RNAcentral describes it as "partial 16S ribosomal RNA". It matches the Rfam family "Bacterial small subunit ribosomal RNA", at positions 339 to 795 of the family's 1533-position model. The record is from RNAcentral.
CUACGGGUGGCAGCAGUGAGGAAUAUUGCACAAUGGGGGGAACCCUGAUGCAGCAACGCCGCGUGGAGGAUGACGCAUUUCGGUGUGUAAACUCCUUUUAUAUGUCAAGAAAAUGACGGUAGCAUAUGAAUAAGCACCGGCUAACUCCGUGCCAGCAGCCGCGGUAAUACGGCGGGUGCAAGCGUUACUCGGAAUCACUGGGCGUAAAGGACGCGUAGGCGGGUUGGAAAGUCAGGUGUGAAAUCCUACAGCUUAACUGUAGAACUGCACUUGAAACUUCUAAUCUAGAGCAUGGGAGGGGGAGAUGGAAUUAGUGGUGUAGGGGUAAAAUCCGUAGAUAUCACUAGGAAUACCUAAAGCGAAGGCGAUCUCCUGGAACAUUACUGACGCUAAGGCGUGAAAGCGUGGGGAGCAAACAGGAUUAGAUACCCCGGUAGUC